AGAGGAAGUAAAAGUCGUAACAAGGUCUCCGUUGGUGAACCAGCGGAGGGAUCAUUACUGAGUUUACGCUCUACAACCCUUUGUGAACAUACCUAUAACUGUUGCUUCGGCGGGUAGGGUCUCCGUGACCCUCCCGGCCUCCCGCCCCCGGGCGGGUCGGCGCCCGCCGGAGGAUAACCAAACUCUGAUUUAACGACGUUUCUUCUGAGUGGUACAAGCAAAUAAUCAAAACUUUUAACAACGGAUCUCUUGGUUCUGGCAUCGAUGAAGAACGCAGCGAAAUGCGAUAAGUAAUGUGAAUUGCAGAAUUCAGUGAAUCAUCGAAUCUUUGAACGCACAUUGCGCCCGCCAGCAUUCUGGCGGGCAUGCCUGUUCGAGCGUCAUUUCAACCCUCAAGCUCUGCUUGGUGUUGGGGCCCUACAGCUGAUGUAGGCCCUCAAAGGUAGUGGCGGACCCUCCCGGAGCCUCCUUUGCGUAGUAACUUUACGUCUCGCACUGGGAUCCGGAGGGACUCUUGCCGUAAAACCCCCCAAUUUUCCAAAGGUUGACCUCGGAUCAGGUAGGAAUACCCGCUGAACUUAAGCAUAUGGU
RNAcentral lists this ribosomal RNA (591 nucleotides) under Colletotrichum tropicale. RNAcentral describes it as "eukaryotic LSU rRNA". The stretch from base 230 to 383 matches the Rfam family "5.8S ribosomal RNA". Lineage: Eukaryota; Fungi; Ascomycota; Sordariomycetes; Glomerellales; Glomerellaceae. The record is from RNAcentral.